RNAcentral lists this ribosomal RNA (433 nucleotides) under uncultured bacterium. RNAcentral describes it as "partial 16S ribosomal RNA". It matches the Rfam family "Bacterial small subunit ribosomal RNA", at positions 29 to 507 of the family's 1533-position model. The record is from RNAcentral.
AACGAACGCUGGCGGCAUGCCUAACACAUGCAAGUCGAACGAGACCUUCGGGUCUUGUGGCGCACCGGUGCGUAACGAGUGGUAACUUGCCCUUAGGUUCGGAAUAACUCCCCGAAAGGGGUGCUAAUACCGGUUAAUGUCUUCGGACCAAAGAUUUCUUGCCUUGGGAUGGGCCCGCGUUGGUUUAGCUAGUUGGUAGGGUAAAAGCCUACCAAGGCGACGAUCCAUAGCUGGUCUGAGAGGAUGAUCAGCCACACUGGGACUGAGACACGGCCCAGACUCCUACGGGAGGCAGCAGUGGGGAAUAUUGGACAAUGGGCGAUAGCGUGAUCCAGCAAUGCCGCGUGAGUGAUGAAGGCCUUAGGGUUGUAAAGCUCUUUUACCCGGGAUGAUAAUGACAGUACCGGGAGAAUAAGCUCCGGCUAACUCCGUG